UGUGUGAGGAAGGCUUUUGGUUGUAAAGCACUUUAAGACGAGGAGGAGGCUACCUAGAUUAAUACUCUGGGAUAGUGGACGUUACUCGCAGAAUAAGCACCGGCUAACUCUGUGCCAGCAGCCGCGGUAAUACAGAGGGUGCGAGCGUUAAUCGGAUUUACUGGGCGUAAAGCGUGCGUAGGCGGCUGAUUAAGUCGGAUGUGAAAUCCCUGAGCUUAACUUAGGAAUUGCAUUCGAUACUGGUCAGCUAGAGUAUGGGAGAGGAUGGUAGAAUUCCAGGUGUAGCGGUGAAAUGCGUAGAGAGCUGGAGGAAUACCGAUGGCGAAGGCAGCCAUCUGGCCUAAUACUGACCCUGAGGUACGAAAGUAUGGGGAGCAAACAGGAUUAUAUACCCUGGUAGUCCUGCC
RNAcentral lists this ribosomal RNA (407 nucleotides) under Acinetobacter sp. oral taxon 408. Its description in RNAcentral is "bacterial SSU rRNA". It matches the Rfam family "Bacterial small subunit ribosomal RNA", at positions 401 to 801 of the family's 1533-position model. The record is from RNAcentral. Lineage: Bacteria; Pseudomonadati; Pseudomonadota; Gammaproteobacteria; Moraxellales; Moraxellaceae.